GGAUGUGAGGGCAAUCUGGCUGGGAUGUCUGUCACCCCAUGGAUUUCCAGGGUUGAUUCGGCUGAUCUAGCUGGCUAGGCUGGUGUCCCCUUCUUCCCUCACCACUCCUUGUGUGUCCAUCCCGAAGCUACGUGCUCUGCUGAAGAGGACGACCAUCCCCAACAGAGGAGGACCAGUCUUUGGUCAAGGGUAUGUGAGUAGGUGCACUCCCCUGCUAGAACCUCCAAACAAGCUCUCGAUUAUUUAAAAAAAAAAAAAAAAAAGCAUCAAAACAUUUAGCAACAGUCUCUUUGUUUAUUUCUAGGAUUUAUCAAGUUCUGA
Unclassified non-coding RNA from Rhinopithecus roxellana (golden snub-nosed monkey), 321 nucleotides. Its record names the gene 7SK. It matches the Rfam family "7SK RNA". Rfam says of the family: 7SK was discovered as an abundant small nuclear RNA in the mid-70s but a possible function has only recently been suggested. Two independent studies have found that 7SK RNA binds the CDK9/cyclin T complex (known as elongation factor P-TEFb). P-TEFb activates transcription by phosphorylating the C-terminal domain of RNA polymerase II. Lineage: Eukaryota; Metazoa; Chordata; Mammalia; Primates; Cercopithecidae. The record is from Ensembl.